CAACGCCGCGUGGAGGAUGAAGCCCCUUGGGGUGUAAACUCCUUUCGAUCGGGAAGAUAAUGACCGGUACCCGAUAUAACGAAAGCCCCGGCUAACUUCGUGGC
Molecule: ribosomal RNA, 104 nt
Filed under: uncultured bacterium
Lineage: Bacteria
Description: partial 16S ribosomal RNA
Source: RNAcentral